RNAcentral lists this ribosomal RNA (326 nucleotides) under uncultured Armatimonadota bacterium. RNAcentral describes it as "bacterial SSU rRNA". It matches the Rfam family "Bacterial small subunit ribosomal RNA", at positions 28 to 351 of the family's 1533-position model. The record is from RNAcentral. Lineage: Bacteria; Bacillati; Armatimonadota.
GACGAACGCUAGCGACGUGCCUAAGAAAUGCAAGUCGAGCGAGGCUAGAGACUUCGGUUUCGAAACCUAGCGGCGAACGGUCGCGUAACACGUAAGCAACCUGCCUCGAAGUUGGGGAUAGCCCUCCGAAAGGGGGAUUAAUACCGAAUGUGGAUUAUCUAUGCAUGUAGAUAACUCUAAAGCAGUAAUGCGCUUUGAGAUGGGCUUGCGGCCUAUCAGCUAGUUGGUGAGGUAACAGCUCACCAAGGCGACGACGGGUAGCUGGUCUGAGAGGAUGGUCAGCCGGACUGGGACUGAGAUACGGCCCAGACACCUACGGGUGGCAG